UUCUGCUAAGUCGCAAGACGAUGUAUAGGAGCUGACGCCUGCCCGGUGCUGGAAGGUUAAGGGGAUCUGUUAGAGCAAUCGAAGCAGUGAACUUAAGCCCCAGUAAACGGCGGCCGUAACUAUAACGGUCCUAAGGUAGCGAAAUUCCUUGUCGGGUAAGUUCCGACCCGAACGAAAGGCGUAACGAUUUGGGCACUGUCUCAACAACAGACUCGGUGAAAUUGUAAUUCCGGUGAAGAUGCCGGAUACCUGCGACAGGACGGAAAGACCCCAUGGAGCUUUACUGUAGCUUGACAUUGGGUCUUGGUACUACAUGUACAGGAUAGGUGGGAGGCU
This 336-nucleotide ribosomal RNA is filed under the name Clostridioides difficile. RNAcentral describes it as "bacterial LSU rRNA". It matches the Rfam family "Bacterial large subunit ribosomal RNA", at positions 1821 to 2156 of the family's 2925-position model. Lineage: Bacteria; Bacillati; Bacillota; Clostridia; Peptostreptococcales; Peptostreptococcaceae. The record is from RNAcentral.